This 450-nucleotide ribosomal RNA is filed under the name uncultured bacterium. Its description in RNAcentral is "bacterial SSU rRNA". It matches the Rfam family "Bacterial small subunit ribosomal RNA", at positions 330 to 794 of the family's 1533-position model. The record is from RNAcentral.
GCCAGACUCCUACGGGAGGCAGCAGUGGGGAAUAUUGCGCAAUGGGGGCAACCCUGACGCAGCAACGCCGCGUGCAGGAAGAAGGUCUUCGGAUUGUAAACUGUUGUCGCAAGGGAAGAAGACAGUGACGGUACCUUGUGAGAAAGUCACGGCUAACUACGUGCCAGCAGCCGCGGUAAUACGUAGGGAGCAAGCGUUGUCCGGAAUUACUGGGCGUAAAGGGCGCGUAGGUGGGCGCUUAAGUCAGGUGUGAAAACUCCGGGCUCAACCUGGAGACUGCACUUGAAACUGGGUGUCUUGAGGGCAGGAGAGGAAAGUGGAAUUCCUAGUGUAGCGGUGAAAUGCGUAGAUAUUAGGAGGAACACCAGUGGCGAAGGCGACUUUCUGGACUGUCCCUGACGCUGAGGCGCGAAAGCGUGGGUAGCGAACGGGAUUAGAUACCCGCGUAUA